UCGCAUGUUUUCAAAUCAUUUUUCCCUCAAAAGCAAACAUCAGGCAAAAAAUGAGAUGAUCAGAGAAAAGGUUGCAGCCUCCGAGCAUUGAGACCAUUCUGUGUGCCUCAGGCACAAUGAUGAAGUGCAGUUGCGGAUUAACGUGAAGAAGUUGGGAAAUCUGUCUUCCGCACCUUUCAAGGCCGAUCCCUUGACAAGCGUGAACAAAACACACUCCUAUUCUCCACCGAGAUGAUUGAAGUCCUGUCUUCUGUCAACAACUAUGAAAAGAUGUUGCACUCGGUCAAGCAAAAAAAAAAAAAAAAAUUGCAUAUCCAUGCAUAAAACCGCUUACUGUACUCAAUCAAAUACACACAGAGACACACGCUCACAAUCACUGGCUAUUUUCUUCCAAUAGUUUCAUGAAUAAAGUACACAUGACAGUUUGUUUCACGGCGGAGUUGCUCACAUCUGGAAGCUGUCAAAAAGCACAGCAGAGGAACCAAAGGAAUGAAUUCAAUGCCUGCUGCGGAGCAAGCCUAAAACUGGGCUCUGCCUCAAGUCAGCACAAAACAACGUUUCACACCAGGCACAGUGGAAAUGAAAGUCAAGCUUUAAAAGACAGUUUUCAAAGUUAAUCCACGACAUCAAAAAAAAAAAAAAAAGAACACCAUUCAUCCAUUUCCCGAACAACUUAUCUUUGCGUGUAACUCAGUUAAGAGGACAUAGCCAGGCCAUGAGGUCCAUUUCAGCUUCUUCCAGCCACAUCGAGUUCACGCAGUGUUUAUCAAAGCCAUUCCACAGUUUGCACAAUUCCACAAUCUUAGCGAAACACGAAAUUCUCUAUUUUUAGCCAGGGGAAGCCGUGGCAUGGGUCAAGAGGAAAUGAUCGGACUUGCGAAAACAGGAAUGUUUGUCGAUUGAGCAUUUUGCAAGGAAACGGGGCCUACUCACUUUGAAAGAUCAAACAUAAAUCCGUGUGAGAAACACGUGCGAGUAAGACUGAAAAUAGAAUCUUCAACACCUUAUGUAUCCAUGUAUGCCUGCUGAGCUAAAAUUAUCCACUUCGGGAAAUCUUCUCCCAAAAAUAAUUAUCUUAGAAGUGUACGUUUUAUUCAGCCAGACAAUAAAGAUUUCAAAUGCUUUGACUCGGAGCUCUGUGUGUGUCCCUCAACCACAGAAGUCAUUCUUUUGUGUUUUCCAAACCUGUUUUUUUUUUUGUUUUUUUUUUCCACGGCACCGACUGACACCUCCUCCACCCCAUUUCCCUUAUCAGUGGUGAGCACACACGGAGGAGUGUGGCUUCUGGGCGGACUCAAAGGUCCUUUCUCCGUGAAACGCCUUGAUAGCUUUUAUCUCAGCAGCAGCGUCUCCAACCUGCAGUCUCUGCUUUCGGAGGAGAAUACAUAUUGCCCGACGGCAAAGAAAAGAGUCUGCGGGCUUUUAAGGAGCCUAUAGCUGAUACAGUACAGUAAGAAGGCGGGGGUGGUGAGCUAUGAGAGGUAUAAUUCAAGGACGCCGCCCUUGAACUUCUCAAAUGGACAAAUUGUAAGCGGAUGCAGUGCGAUUUCCUGUAACCAAACGAAGCUAGACAACACAGCACUCUAACAUCCAGGCUAGUAUUCCUCAAUGUCUGUUGACAUGGACACCUUGAAAAAGGUCAUUUAAAAGCUGUC
Molecule: long non-coding RNA, 1655 nt
Organism: Hippocampus comes (tiger tail seahorse)
Lineage: Eukaryota; Metazoa; Chordata; Actinopteri; Syngnathiformes; Syngnathidae
Exons: 3
Source: RefSeq, a predicted model, not a curated record